Molecule: ribosomal RNA, 1072 nt
Filed under: Enterococcus sp.
Lineage: Bacteria; Bacillati; Bacillota; Bacilli; Lactobacillales; Enterococcaceae
Description: bacterial SSU rRNA
Rfam family: Bacterial small subunit ribosomal RNA
Source: RNAcentral
GCGGCUAUCAUGCAGUCGUACGCUUUUUCUUUCACCGGAGCUUGCUCCACCGAAAGAAAAGGAGUGGCGAACGGGUGAGUAACACGUGGGUAACCUGCCCAUCAGAAGGGGAUAACACUUGGAAACAGGUGCUAAUACCGUAUAACAAUCGAAACCGCAUGGUUUUGAUUUGAAAGGCGCUUUCGGGUGUCGCUGAUGGAUGGACCCGCGGUGCAUUAGCUAGUUGGUGAGGUAACGGCUCACCAAGGCCACGAUGCAUAGCCGACCUGAGAGGGUGAUCGGCCACAUUGGGACUGAGACACGGCCCAAACUCCUACGGGAGGCAGCAGUAGGGAAUCUUCGGCAAUGGACGAAAGUCUGACCGAGCAACGCCGCGUGAGUGAAGAAGGUUUUCGGAUCGUAAAACUCUGUUGUUAGAGAAGAACAAGGAUGAGAGUAACUGUUCAUCCCUUGACGGUAUCUAACCAGAAAGCCACGGCUAACUACGUGCCAGCAGCCGCGGUAAUACGUAGGUGGCAAGCGUUGUCCGGAUUUAUUGGGCGUAAAGCGAGCGCAGGCGGUUUCUUAAGUCUGAUGUGAAAGCCCCCGGCUCAACCGGGGAGGGUCAUUGGAAACUGGGAGACUUGAGUGCAGAAGAGGAGAGUGGAAUUCCAUGUGUAGCGGUGAAAUGCGUAGAUAUAUGGAGGAACACCAGUGGCGAAGGCGACUCUCUGGUCUGUAACUGACGCUGAGGCUCGAAAGCGUGGGGAGCAAACAGGAUUAGAUACCCUGGUAGUCCACGCCGUAAACGAUGAGUGCUAAGUGUUGGAGGGUUUCCGCCCUUCAGUGCUGCAGCUAACGCAUUAAGCACUCCGCCUGGGGAGUACGACCGCAAGGUUGAAACUCAAAGGAAUUGACGGGGGCCCGCACAAGCGGUGGAGCAUGUGGUUAAUUCGAAGCACGCGAAGAACCUUACAGGUCUUGACUUCCUUUACCCCUCUAAAAUAGCUCCCUUCGGGGCAAAGUGAAGGGGGCAUGGUUGUCUCCUCGUGUCGUGAAAUUUGGGUUAAUCCCCAACAGCGCAACCUUUUGU